Molecule: long non-coding RNA, 526 nt
Organism: Cyanistes caeruleus (blue tit)
Lineage: Eukaryota; Metazoa; Chordata; Aves; Passeriformes; Paridae
Source: RefSeq, a predicted model, not a curated record
AAUCCCUUGGUCCCUCCCUUUUUGGAAGGAGGAGGCAUUUUGUGUCACAGCAGGGGCAGACUGUGGCUCCCUGUUUGGCAAAUCCAGGAGUUUCACAGCGGAGCUGUCGAAGGAAAAGGGAAAACUGGUGAACCACAUAAUUAGUUUUUGAUUCAGUGAUUAAUAUCACUUGCAAACAGGAUUGCUCUCCAGGGGCACACGGAAAUAUCUUCCCAUGGCUGUUUUGGGUGUGCACGGGCAGGCUGUGCCGCUCGGGGACUGCAGGUGCUGAUAAGGGACUUGCCAGCCUGGAGCCAUCAGGUGUGCGUGACAUUAUUGGCACUGCAGACAAGCCCUUGCUGUUUUAUAAAUAAAGGAAAAUAUCCAGUGCCAUGGUUAAUUAGGAAUUCUGGUAAUGCGCAAAUCAGCCUUUUUCCACUGGAAAGGGACCUGGGGAGGACCAAAACCCCAGUGCCCUGCAUGGAUAAACCCUGUGCUGCUCUGAGAGAGCCAAGACCUGUUCCUGUGAGCACAAAAAACACAUUUA